AUAGCACAUGCAAGUCGAACGGGACUUUUUCUGGUAGCAAUACCGGGAAAAGUCUAGUGGCGAACGGGUGCGUAACACGUGGACAAUCUGCCUUAAAGUGGGGGAUAGCUCGGCGAAAGCCGAAUUAAUACCGCAUGUGAUGAGGGAAGACAUCUUUCCGAAUUCAAAGCCGGGGCAACCUGGCGCUUUUUGAGGAGUCCGCGGCCUAUCAGCUUGUUGGUGAGGUAACGGCUCACCAAGGCUAUGACGGGUAGCUGGUCUGAGAGGACGACCAGUCACACUGGAACUGAGACACGGUCCAGACACCUACGGGUGGCAGCAGUCGAGAAUUUUUCUCAAUGGGGGAAACCCUGAAGGAGCGACGCCGCGUGGAGGAUGAAGGUCUUCGGGUUGUAAACUCCUGUCAUUUGGGAACAAGGUGUGCGCGUUAACUGCGCGCGCAUUGAUAGUACCAGAAGAGGAAGAGACGGCUAACUCUGUGCCAGCAGCCGCGGUAAUACAGGAGGUCUCAAGCGUUGUUCGGAUUCAUUGGGCGUAAAGGGUGCGUAGCGGCGCGGUAAGUCGGGUGUGAAAUUUCGAGGCUUACUUCGA
This 591-nucleotide ribosomal RNA is filed under the name uncultured bacterium. RNAcentral describes it as "bacterial SSU rRNA". It matches the Rfam family "Bacterial small subunit ribosomal RNA", at positions 48 to 618 of the family's 1533-position model. The record is from RNAcentral.